RNAcentral lists this ribosomal RNA (594 nucleotides) under [Candida] sp. Its description in RNAcentral is "Candida sp. (in: Saccharomycetales) partial large subunit ribosomal RNA". It matches the Rfam family "Eukaryotic large subunit ribosomal RNA", at positions 42 to 651 of the family's 3401-position model. The record is from RNAcentral. Lineage: Eukaryota; Fungi; Ascomycota; Saccharomycetes; Saccharomycetales.
AUCAAUAAACGGAGGAAAAGAAACCAACAGGGGAUUACCUCAGUAACGGCGAGUGAAGCGGUAACAGCUCAAAUUUGAAAUCUGGGCGGCAAGGUCCGAGUUGUAAUUUGUAGAGGAUGUUUCGAGCAUGGUCUGGCCUAAGUUCCUUGGAACAGGACGUCAUAGAGGGUGAGAAUCCCGUAUGCGGUCAGGUGCCUACGCUCAUGUGAAGGUCGUUCGACGAGUCGAGUUGUUUGGGAAUGCAGCUCAAAAUGGGUGGUAGAUUUGAUCUAAAGCUAAAUAUUGGCCAGAGACCGAUAGCGCACAAGUAGAGUGAUCGAAAGAUGAAAAGCACUUUGGAAAGAGAGUUAAACAGUACGUGAAAUUGUUGAAAGGGAAGCGCUUGCAACCAGGACUUGCGCGCGGCUGAUCAUCCGGGCUUCUGCCCGGUGCACUCGGUCGCGCUCAGGCCAGCAUCGGUUUUGGUGGCGGGAUAAAGGCCUUGGGAAUGUAGCUCCUCUCGGGGAGUGUUAUAGCCCAGGGUGCAAUGCCGCCUACCGGGACCGAGGACCGCGCUUCGGCUAGGAUGCUGGCGUAAUGGUUGUAAGCGACCCC